CGCAGGAUGGAGCAGUCUGGUAGCUCGUCGGGCUCAUAACCCGAAGGUCGUUGGUUCAAAUCCAGCUCCCGCAA
Molecule: transfer RNA, 74 nt
Filed under: Lactobacillus crispatus
Lineage: Bacteria; Bacillati; Bacillota; Bacilli; Lactobacillales; Lactobacillaceae
Description: tRNA-Met
Rfam family: tRNA
About the family: Transfer RNA (tRNA) molecules are approximately 80 nucleotides in length. Their secondary structure includes four short double-helical elements and three loops (D, anti-codon, and T loops).
Source: RNAcentral